RNAcentral lists this unclassified non-coding RNA (373 nucleotides) under soil metagenome. RNAcentral describes it as "partial contains 5.8S ribosomal RNA, internal transcribed spacer 2, and large subunit ribosomal RNA". The stretch from base 1 to 121 matches the Rfam family "5.8S ribosomal RNA", at positions 35 to 154 of the family's 154-position model. The record is from RNAcentral.
GAUGAAGAACGUAGCGAAAUGCGAUAAGUAAUGCGAAUUGCAGAAUUCCAGUGAGUCAUCGAAUCUUUGAACGCACAUUGCGCCCUUUGGUAUUCCGAAGGGCAUGCCUGUUCGAGCGUCAUUAUCACCCCUCAAGCCCUCAGCUUGGUGUUGGACGGUUUGGUGGAGGCCCCCUCGGGGGCUCCUGCCCCUCCCAAAGACAAUGACGGCGGCCUCGUUGGACCCCCGGUACACUGAGUUCUUCACGGGACACGUAUCGGACACAUGGGUUUACGGGACACGGUCUGCCUCCCCUCAGGGAGAAUCUUUCUAAGGUUGACCUCGGAUCAGGUAGGGAUACCCGCUGAACUUAAGCAUAUCAAUAAGCGGAGGA